This 464-nucleotide ribosomal RNA is filed under the name uncultured bacterium. RNAcentral describes it as "partial 16S ribosomal RNA". It matches the Rfam family "Bacterial small subunit ribosomal RNA", at positions 29 to 507 of the family's 1533-position model. The record is from RNAcentral.
AUGAACGCUGGCGGCGUGCUUAACACAUGCACGUCGAACGGAAAGGCUCCUGCUUGCAGGGGUACUCGAGUGGCGAACGGGUGAGUAACACGUGGGUGAUCUGCCCUGCACUUCGGGAUAAGCCUGGGAAACUGGGUCUAAUACCGGAUAGGACCACAUUUUGGAUGGUGUGGUGGAAAGUUUUUCGGUGUGGGAUGAGCUCGCGGCCUAUCAGCUUGUUGGUGGGGUAAUGGCCUACCAAGGCGUCGACGGGUAGCCGGCCUGAGAGGGUGUACGGCCACAUUGGGACUGAGAUACGGCCCAGACUCCUACGGGAGGCAGCAGUGGGGAAUAUUGCACAAUGGGCGCAAGCCUGAUGCAGCGACGCCGCGUGGGGGAUGACGGCCUUCGGGUUGUAAACUCCUUUCGCUAGGGACGAAGCGCAAGUGACGGUACCUGGAGAAGAAGCACCGGCUAACUACGUG